Molecule: ribosomal RNA, 460 nt
Filed under: uncultured bacterium
Lineage: Bacteria
Description: partial 16S ribosomal RNA
Rfam family: Bacterial small subunit ribosomal RNA
Source: RNAcentral
CCUACGGGAGGCAGCAGUGAGGAAUAUUGGUCAAUGGACGAGAGUCUGAACCAGCCAAGUAGCGUGAAGGCUGACUGCCCUAUGGGUUUUACACUUCUUUUAUAUGGGAAUCCAACAGGGUAUGCAUACCCUCUUGUAUGUACCAUAUGAAUCAUGAUCUGCUAACUCCUUGCCAUCAGCCGCGGUAAUACGGAGGAUCCGAGCGUUAUCCUGAUUUAUUGGUCUUCCAGGGAGCGUAGGUGGAUUGUUAAGUCAGUUGUGAAAGUUUGCGGCUCAACCGUAAAAUUGCAGUUGAAACUGGCAGUCGUGAGUACAGGAGAUGUGGGAGGAAGUCGUGGUGUAGCGGUGAAAUGCUUAGAUAUCACGAAGAACCCCGAUUGCGAAGGCAGCUUACUAAACUGUGACUGACAUUGAUGCUCGAAAGUGUGGGUAUCAAACAGGAUUAGAUACCCGGGGAGUC